Molecule: ribosomal RNA, 551 nt
Filed under: Russula dinghuensis
Lineage: Eukaryota; Fungi; Basidiomycota; Agaricomycetes; Russulales; Russulaceae
Description: partial small subunit ribosomal RNA
Rfam family: Bacterial small subunit ribosomal RNA
Source: RNAcentral
GCUACUGAAUCAAUUAAAAAAUUGAUAACAUAAGGGAAAAUAAUGAUAUUACCUUAUUAUUAGUGUCGUCCAAAACUGGUGCCAGAAGACUCGGUAAGGCCAGAGACAUAAACGUUAAUCGUCUUAAUCAGGCGUAAAGGGUUUGUAGGCGGCUUUUAAUUUUACUUAUUUAUUCUGUUUUCGUUAUUUUUUUAAUUAAAAUUUAUAAGUAAAGAAUAAAAGCUAGAAUCAAAUAGAGGAUAUAUUAAAUAAUGCUUAGAGUAGGUCUGAUAUCCAUAGAUACUAAGUAGAAUAUUAAAGGCGAAGGCUUUUUUCCAUUAAUGAUUGACGCUCAGAAACGAAGGUGAGGAUAGGAAAUAGGAUUAGAUACCCAAAAUACCCCUCUCUGUCAACGAUGAAUGGUAGUUAUUAGUAAUAAAUUAAUUAAUGACAAUGUUAACACGAUAACCAUUCCGCCUUGUGAGUACAACUGCAAAGUUGAAAACAAAAAAAUUAGUCGGUUUCGGAGCAAACGAAGUGAAGCAUGUUAUUUAAUUCAAUAAUCCCGCAAA